AUUGUAGCAUUGCCAUCCGGUCUCAAGCAGCGAGUGAAAAGGGAAUCCAGUGCAAAUCUGGAGCUGACGCGCAGCGGUAUGGGGAAGUCACGGCGAUAGCGUUAAAUGACGCAGACACUGUCCACUGCAGGAUGGGAAGUCAUCGCCCGGUGCGGGUUGCCACAGGCAACCGGCAAAUCCCAAGCCCGAAAACCUACCGGUGUACGUCGCAAUAU
This 215-nucleotide non-coding RNA is filed under the name Serratia fonticola. The record is from RNAcentral. Lineage: Bacteria; Pseudomonadati; Pseudomonadota; Gammaproteobacteria; Enterobacterales; Yersiniaceae.